Molecule: ribosomal RNA, 393 nt
Filed under: uncultured bacterium
Lineage: Bacteria
Description: partial 16S ribosomal RNA
Rfam family: Bacterial small subunit ribosomal RNA
Source: RNAcentral
AUACGGAGGAUGCAAGCGUUAUCCGGAUUCAUUGGGUUUAAAGGGUGCGCAGGCGGAGAGAUAAGUCAGUGGUGAAAAACUGCCGCUCAACGGUAGUCUUGCCAUUGAUACUGUCUUUCUUGAGUAUGGAUGAGGUAGGCGGAAUGUGCAGUGUAGCGGUGAAAUGCAUAGAUAUUGCACGGAACACCAAUUGCGAAGGCAGCUUACUGGACCAUUACUGACGCUCAGGCACGAAAGCGUGGGGAUCAAACAGGAUUAGAUACCCUGGUAGUCCACGCAGUAAACGAUGUUCACUCGCUGUUUGCGAUAUACUGUAAGCGGCUUAGUUAAAGCAUUAAGUGAACCACCUGGGGAGUACGAUCGCAAGGUUGAAACUCAAAUGAAUUGGCGGGG